RNAcentral lists this ribosomal RNA (410 nucleotides) under uncultured bacterium. Its description in RNAcentral is "bacterial SSU rRNA". It matches the Rfam family "Bacterial small subunit ribosomal RNA", at positions 359 to 776 of the family's 1533-position model. The record is from RNAcentral.
GAAUAUUGCGCAAUGGAGGAAACUCUGACGCAGCGACGCCGCGUGAGCGAUGAAGGUCUUCGGAUCGUAAAGCUCUGUCCUUGGGGAAGAAGAUCGAAAGAUUUGACGGUACCCGAGGAGGCAGCCCCGGCUAACUACGUGCCAGCAGCCGCGGUAAUACGUAGGGGGCAAGCGUUGUCCGGAAUUAGUGGGCGUAAAGGGUGCGUAGGCGGCUUUUUAAGUCAGAUGUGAAAGACCACGGCUUAACCGUGGGGUUGCAUUUGAAACUGGAAGGCUUGAGUAUCGGAGAGGGUAGUGGAAUUCCCAGUGUAGCGGUGAAAUGCGUAGAUAUUGGGAGGAACACCAGUGGCGAAGGCGACUACCUGGACGAAAACUGACGCUGAUGCACGAAAGCUAGGGGAGCAAACAGG